RNAcentral lists this long non-coding RNA (515 nucleotides) under Lathyrus oleraceus (garden pea). Its description in RNAcentral is "Pisum sativum (pea) long non-coding RNA (PSAT_LNC032305)". Lineage: Eukaryota; Viridiplantae; Streptophyta; Magnoliopsida; Fabales; Fabaceae. The record is from RNAcentral.
UACUUUAAAAAAAUAUGAUAAAAAAAUCUUAUUAUUAUUAAUAUAUAAUUAAAUACAGGCAACAAAUUUUGAUGAAUUAUUAACCUAUAGAGUUUAUACCAAUAUUGUCUACUUUAUUGUUACGCUUACAGACAUUCACAAUAAAAAUUAACACAAUGUCUACGUAGAGGAGGGUAACACAAAUUUUUUGGACAAUGACGCCAAUGUUUGCAAGGAAAAAUACCUGAUAUGUAAAAUAAGAACAAACGAAAUGUUACUAAACGAUGACGUAAAUGUGUGUAUAAGAUAAUUAAGAAUAUUUGAAAUAGCAGUAAAAAUGACUUGCCUUCACUGAUUACAACAACAAAAAGAGAAAGAAAGAUUAUCAAACCAUAAACAAUUUUGGGAAUUUGAGUCAUAUCUUUCUAUUUUCUCAGGAAAGAACAUAGAAAUAUGUUGAGCAUUUUUAAGUUUCAUACUUUGUUUAAAUAUGUGUUUUUUAACGCUUAGAAGUUGCAAGAAGCGACUUAUAAAAA